GCGGGUUUAGCUCAGUUGGGAGAGCGUCAGACUGAAGCCAAACUUCAAUUAUAAGCAAUUAAUAUCUGAAGGUCGUGUGUUCGAUCCACACAAACCGCA
RNAcentral lists this transfer RNA (99 nucleotides) under Fusarium torreyae. It matches the Rfam family "tRNA". From Rfam's summary of the family: Transfer RNA (tRNA) molecules are approximately 80 nucleotides in length. The record is from Rfam by way of RNAcentral. Lineage: Eukaryota; Fungi; Ascomycota; Sordariomycetes; Hypocreales; Nectriaceae.